AAGAUUUCGAUGGGCUUGGAAGAAGAAGGAAGGAACUACUUUAUUUGGCCGAUCAGAAAACUCCUCUCGUACUUCUGUCCACUGAUGUAUCCUGAUCUCCUAAAAUUGUACCAGAAGUACCAUUUGUCCUUGAAAAUCCUACAUGAUCUGAGGGAAGACAUUUAGAAGGAUAUUGUUCUAUCAACUACCAACUGACUGUUAAAGGCAAACUGUCUAUUGGCACUUUAGUUUGCACCCAGCUUCGACAGUAACUGAAGAGUUCAAUGUGAAACAAUGUACCUUAGACAAAGCCUGAAAUCACUGUCAUUACUGACCUAAUUGAUAUAUGCUACAAUGGAAUUCUCUGAAUGUCUCCCAUAUAGAAGUACGGACAUAAAGGAGAAGUGUUCUCACUGUAGAGGCCCCCAUUUAAGAACGCAUAUUGUAUCCUGAAAUA
This is a non-coding RNA of Phascolarctos cinereus (koala), 436 nucleotides long. The record is from RefSeq and is a predicted model, not a curated record. NCBI's taxonomy places the organism in Eukaryota, Metazoa, Chordata, Mammalia, Diprotodontia, Phascolarctidae.